Molecule: long non-coding RNA, 1149 nt
Organism: Salvia splendens (bonfire salvia)
Lineage: Eukaryota; Viridiplantae; Streptophyta; Magnoliopsida; Lamiales; Lamiaceae
Exons: 10
Source: RefSeq, a predicted model, not a curated record
AUUCAGCAUAUUCUCGUGUUACUGAUCAGUCAUUAAGCAUCAACGUGCGACUCACCUUAUGCUGGGUAUUGCUUUACGAGCUGAUUUAGAUGCUUUGAGGAAGCUUGCAGAUUGGGAAGUUUGUCCCUAGUCUCAUUGAGUAUUACUGAUCCAGUUUAGUUUUGACCACCUCAAUAUUUAUUCCAGCGAGUUGAAGGGAAAAACUUUCCAUUUGAGUCAUAUUACACAGCAAUCAUGCUGCUUUGAGGCUACUGAGAUAAUUCAGCAUAUUCUACUGUUACUUGUAGUCGAUUUGAAGGAUAAAAUUGCUUGUUUUAACAAAUGGAUGCUAAUUUUAUGAAAGUUACUUUCAAAUGAAAAGAAAGAAGCUUUAGCAGCAAUCUCUCUACUCCCUCAUGGAGAGUUUGUAUCUGGCUAGUGCUCGUCUAACGUUCUAGUUUGUGAUGAGGAUGCACCAUUAAAUGUACCUCAUUCAUCUUAUGCUCAUCAGAGAACGUCGUUGUUGAUUAAAGUGAUUGCAAACCUUCAUUGCUUUGUUCCCCAGAUUGCACGCCCACCAUUUUCUCUGAUCGGACCCAACAUCAUAUUUUCUCGAUUAGCAAUUCCCUCUUCGAUCCCGCUGCAACAGAGACCACCAAGUUCUCUGAGUUCACUCCUGAUUACAUGAAACCUACAAUGCAGUCACUCAGUGGUGCUUUGCUGUCAAUACAAUCAACCUCAUCGGAUUUACUACGGUCUUCUAGAUCAACCUCAGCAACUAAAUUAUCAGCUUUUGCAACUCUGUGAAGCUGAAAGUGUAUCAUACCUGGAUGAGGUGGAGCAACUCAGGAUAUGGCACACUCUGUUGGACUUGAGCUUUUGCAACUGUGUGAAGCUGAAAGUGUAUCAUACCUGGAUGAGUUGGCCAGCAACACAACAACUCAAGAUAUGGCAAAGUCUGUUAGCUCGAGGUUCUUGCAUUGCUGAAAAAAGCUUGGUAUAGAUUCAAGACAGAUAAAUACUCCCUCCAAGGCAAGUUACCGGAAGGGGCAACUGGAGCUUAAUACAAAGCUCUUGGCAGAUGUCGUCUCAGAUGCUUCAAAUUAUCUGUCAUUCAUCAUGAAGUGUGUUUAUAGUGUUUGUAUUUUCUGUAUGUAUUUUGUGUAGUGU